UGCAAGUCGAACGGGGGCAGUGAUGCUCCAGUGGCGGACGGGUGAGUAAUGCGUAGGAAUCUGCCUGGCAAUGGGGGACAACCUGGGGAAACUCAGGCUAAUACCGCAUACGCUCGCGAGAGGAAAGCGGGGGACCUCCGGGCCUCGUGUUGUUGGAUGAGCCUACGUCCGAUUAGCUAGUUGGGAGGGUAACGGCCUACCAAGGCGACGAUCGGUAGCUGGUCUGAGAGGAUGAUCAGCCACACUGGGACUGAGACACGGCCCAGACUCCUACGGGAGGCAGCAGUGGGGAAUAUUGGACAAUGGGCGCAAGCCUGAUCCAGCAAUGCCGCGUGGGUGAAGACGGCCUGCGGGUUGUAAAGCCCUUUAGGUGGGGAAGAAGGGUGGGGCACGAAGACUGCCUUAUUUUGACAUUACCCACGGAAUAAGCACCGGCUAACUCCGUGCCAGCAGCCGCGGUAAUACGGAGGGUGCGAGCGUUAAUCGG
This 487-nucleotide ribosomal RNA is filed under the name uncultured Gammaproteobacteria bacterium. Its description in RNAcentral is "bacterial SSU rRNA". It matches the Rfam family "Bacterial small subunit ribosomal RNA", at positions 56 to 548 of the family's 1533-position model. The record is from RNAcentral. Lineage: Bacteria; Pseudomonadati; Pseudomonadota; Gammaproteobacteria.